Molecule: long non-coding RNA, 100 nt
Organism: Etheostoma cragini (Arkansas darter)
Lineage: Eukaryota; Metazoa; Chordata; Actinopteri; Perciformes; Percidae
Exons: 3
Source: RefSeq, a predicted model, not a curated record
GUUCUUAUUCAGUCCAGUAGAUGCCGUUUGUUAAGGCACAGGUGCCAUAUUAGCACCGGGUCUCGGUACCCAACCCUAGUCACCACGCUACCAAAGCAAA